Molecule: ribosomal RNA, 492 nt
Filed under: uncultured bacterium
Lineage: Bacteria
Description: partial 16S ribosomal RNA
Rfam family: Bacterial small subunit ribosomal RNA
Source: RNAcentral
AGUGAACGCUGGCGGUAGGCCUAACACAUGCAAGUCGAACGGCAGCACAGUAAGAGCUUGCUCUUACGGGUGGCGAGUGGCGGACGGGUGAGGAAUACAUCGGAAUCUACUUUUUCGUGGGGGAUAACGUAGGGAAACUUACGCUAAUACCGCAUACGACCUACGGGUGAAAGCAGGGGAUCUUCGGACCUUGCGCGAUUGAAUGAGCCGAUGUCGGAUUAGCUAGUUGGCGGGGUAAAGGCCCACCAAGGCGACGAUCCGUAGCUGGUCUGAGAGGAUGAUCAGCCACACUGGAACUGAGACACGGUCCAGACUCCUACGGGAGGCAGCAGUAGGGAAUAUUGGACAAUGGGCGAAAGCCUGAUCCAGCCAUACCGCGUGAGUGAAGAAGGCCUUCGGGUUGUAAAGCCCUUUUGUUGGGAAAGAAAAGCAGCAGGUUAAUACGCCGCUGUUCUGACGGUACCCAAAGAGUAAGCACCGGCUAACUUCGUG